This 253-nucleotide ribosomal RNA is filed under the name uncultured bacterium. RNAcentral's name for it is "partial 16S ribosomal RNA". It matches the Rfam family "Bacterial small subunit ribosomal RNA", at positions 524 to 776 of the family's 1533-position model. The record is from RNAcentral.
UACGAAGGGGGCGAGCGUUGUUCGGAUUUACUGGGCGUAAAGGGCGCGCAGGCGGUUCUGUUUGUCGAGUGUGAAAGCCCCGGGCUCAACCUGGGAACUGCGCUCGAAACGGCGGAACUAGAGUCCGGAAGAGGAGAGCGGAAUUCCCGGUGUAGGGGUGAAAUCCGUAGAUAUCGGGAGGAAUACCAAUGGCGUAGGCAGCUCUCUGGCUCGUAACUGACACUGAGAUUCGAAAGCAUGGGUAGCAAACAGG